AGUGAACGCUGGCGGUAGGCCUAACACAUGCAAGUCGAACGGCAGCACAGUAAGAGUUUGCUCUUCCGGGUGGCGGGUGGCGGACGGGUGAGGCAUACAUCGGCAUCUACUUUUUCGUGGGGGAUCACGUAGGGAAACUUCCGAUAAUACAGCAUACGACCUACGGGUGACAGCAGGGGUUCUUCGGACCUUGCGUGAUUGAGUGCGCCGAUGUUGGAGUCGCUAGUUGGCGGGGUAAAGGCCCCCCAAGGCGCAUAUCUGUAGCUGGUCUCAGAGGAUGAUCGCCGACACUAGAACGUAAACACGGUCCAGACUACUAAGAGAGGCAGCAGUGGGGAAUAGUAGACAAGAGUCGCAAGCCUGAUCCAGCCAGACCGCGUGGGUGAAGAAGGCCUUCGGGUUGUAAAGCCCGCUUGUUGGGAAAAAAAAGCAGCAGGUUAAUACCCCGCUAUUCUGACGGUACCCAAAGAAUAAGCACCGGCUAACUUCGUG
Molecule: ribosomal RNA, 492 nt
Filed under: uncultured bacterium
Lineage: Bacteria
Description: partial 16S ribosomal RNA
Rfam family: Bacterial small subunit ribosomal RNA
Source: RNAcentral